Molecule: ribosomal RNA, 1018 nt
Filed under: uncultured euglenozoan
Lineage: Eukaryota; Euglenozoa
Description: SSU rRNA
Rfam family: Eukaryotic small subunit ribosomal RNA
Source: RNAcentral
CGGAGAGGGAGCAUGAGAAGCGGCUACCACAACUAAGGUUGGCAGCAGGCGCGCAAAUUGCCCAAUAGCAACACAUCGCUGAGGCAGCGAAGAUAAAUAGCAACCUCAUGCGGCAUUGCCGUGUGGAGAUUGCCAUGGACGAUAUUUAAACCUGUCGGUGAGUAUCAAUUGGUGGACAAGUCUGGUGCCAGCACCCGCGGUAAUUCCAGCACCAAUAGCGUAUAUUAAUGCUGCUGCUGUUAAAAAGCUCGUAGUUGGAUCAAGAGUUGGAGAGUGCACGGUGGCCCUUCUAGUUCACGAGGCUCCGGUUUCGGGGACUGGUUGGGAUCAACCCCGUGCGCCAAACUCUCAACUCUAACAGGCCGAAGCGGUUCCCUGUGAGUAGGCCCCUUUAUUGGGGUUGAAAGCGACUUCGCAUCUACCAUAUGCAUACGGGACGUCGGCCAAAGUUACUGUGAACAAACCAGCGUGUCCAAAACAGGCUUUCGCCUGAAUAUUCGAGCAUGGAAUAACAAGGGAUCGAUCCUCUCGGUUCUUUUUGUUGGGUUUUAACCUGAGAAGGAGUAAUCCAGGCCACGGUGUCUGAGAUGGGUUCCCCUGCACUUCGGUGUAGGCCCCAGUUAGGCCGUGUCCUUACGGGAUAAAUAGGGACUGACGGGGUCGUACGUACUUCCACGUCAGAGGUGAAAUUCUUAGAUCGUGGGAAGACGACUUCUGCGAAAGCAUUCGACAAGAAUGUCUCCAUUAAUCAAGGACGAGAGUGUGGGGAUCGAAGAUGAUCAGAUACCGUCGUAGUCCACUACUGUAAACAAUGCCGUCUCAGGAUUGAGAAGUAACAUUUUGACCUUCACAGCACUAACCCCUGAAACGAGGAAUCAAAGAUUAUGAGUUCAGGGGGGAGUACAUUCGCAAGGCUGGAACUUAAAGGAAUUGACGGAAUGACACCACAAGGCGUGGAGUAUGCGGCUUAAUUUGACUCAACACGGGGAAUUUACUAGGUCAGGACCAGUGUAUGGAU